AGAAGAGGGAAGUAAAUAACCGGCAGCUCGUCCAAUCAGAAGCCCCCCGUGUCGGAAAAGGGACCAAUCAGAAGGAACAAGGAAGGUGGGCGUUAUUCGUAACCAAUCCAAAGCCUCGGCAGGGUAGGAGAGGGCUACGAGAAAGCGAGAUGGGGCGGUGUUUAGUUGGAACCAAUCCAGAGCCUAGGGCGGUCUGAUGGACAGGACGCUGCACCUCUCAGAGCACAGCAGUGGCACGUGGAUAGCCGUGCCCAAUGGGAGAGCGCUAGGAGGCUUGAGGAGCAGCGAAAGGAGCCUACCGGAGCCCGGCCCAUCAUGGCGGCGCCCAGCGAGUAGGGACUUGCCAUGUCCGGCCAGGGGGUCUGGCUGCGAGCCCGGGAGCGGCUGCGGCGUUUCCCCGAGCUGCUGGCGGGAUGUCGGGACCAGGCAAAGAAGACAAUGAAGUGAAGGCAUUAGUAACAAUGCAGGGGGGACUGGAAUCUAGAUUUACAGUUCCUGGCUGGUGUCUGUCCAGCUAUAAUCAAGUAGUUCCAGGACAGAAGAAUCUGCAUAAUCUAGAAUUAGAUCAGAAGGAAAUGGGAGCCUAAUAAUGGAAUAAUCAACUCUCUUUCAUGCACCCUCCUCCCUCAGCUGUUUCAAACAAUGCAUGUAAAUAGAUGUUUGGAAUCUUUUUUUAAAUAAAACUCAAAUCUGA
Caretta caretta (loggerhead turtle) is the source of this 694-nucleotide long non-coding RNA. RefSeq lists it as uncharacterized. NCBI's taxonomy places the organism in Eukaryota, Metazoa, Chordata, Testudines, Cheloniidae. The record is from RefSeq and is a predicted model, not a curated record.